Molecule: ribosomal RNA, 433 nt
Filed under: uncultured bacterium
Lineage: Bacteria
Description: partial 16S ribosomal RNA
Rfam family: Bacterial small subunit ribosomal RNA
Source: RNAcentral
AACGAACGCUGGCGGCAUGCCUAACACAUGCAAGUCGAACGAGACCUUCGGGUCUAGUGGCGCACGGGUGCGUAACGCGUGGGAACCUGCCCUUAGGUUCGGAAUAACUCCCCGAAAGGGGUGCUAAUACCGGAUAAUGUCUUCGGACCAAAGAUUUAUCGCCUUUGGAUGGGCCCGCGUUGGAUUAGCUAGUUGGUAGGGUAAAAGCCUACCAAGGCGACGAUCCAUAGCUGGUCUGAGAGGAUGAUCAGCCACACUGGGACUGAGACACGGCCCAGACUCCUACGGGAGGCAGCAGUGGGGAAUAUUGGACAAUGGGCGAAAGCCUGAUCCAGCAAUGCCGCGCGAGUGAUGAAGGCCUUAGGGUUGUAAAGCUCUUUUACCCGGGAUGAUAAUGACAGUACCGGGAGAAUAAGCUCUGGCUAACUCCGUG